This 2787-nucleotide ribosomal RNA is filed under the name Escherichia coli. RNAcentral describes it as "bacterial LSU rRNA". It matches the Rfam family "Bacterial large subunit ribosomal RNA". The record is from RNAcentral. Lineage: Bacteria; Pseudomonadati; Pseudomonadota; Gammaproteobacteria; Enterobacterales; Enterobacteriaceae.
AGCGUACACGGUGGAUGCCCUGGCAGUCAGAGGCGAUGAAGGACGUGCUAAUCUGCGAUAAGCGUCGGUAAGGUGAUAUGAACCGUUAUAACCGGCGAUUUCCGAAUGGGGAAACCCAGUGUGUUUCGACACACUAUCAUUAACUGAAUCCAUAGGUUAAUGAGGCGAACCGGGGGAACUGAAACAUCUAAGUACCCCGAGGAAAAGAAAUCAACCGAGAUUCCCCCAGUAGCGGCGAGCGAACGGGGAGCAGCCCAGAGCCUGAAUCAGUGUGUGUGUUAGUGGAAGCGUCUGGAAAGGCGCGCGAUACAGGGUGACAGCCCCGUACACAAAAAUGCACAUGCUGUGAGCUCGAUGAGUAGGGCGGGACACGUGGUAUCCUGUCUGAAUAUGGGGGGACCAUCCUCCAAGGCUAAAUACUCCUGACUGACCGAUAGUGAACCAGUACCGUGAGGGAAAGGCGAAAAGAACCCCGGCGAGGGGAGUGAAAAAGAACCUGAAACCGUGUACGUACAAGCAGUGGGAGCACGCUUCGGCGUGUGACUGCGUACCUUUUGUAUAAUGGGUCAGCGACUUAUAUUCUGUAGCAAGGUUAACCGAAUAGGGGAGCCGAAGGGAAACCGAGUCUUAACUGGGCGUUAAGUUGCAGGGUAUAGACCCGAAACCCGGUGAUCUAGCCAUGGGCAGGUUGAAGGUUGGGUAACACUAACUGGAGGACCGAACCGACUAAUGUUGAAAAAUUAGCGGAUGACUUGUGGCUGGGGGUGAAAGGCCAAUCAAACCGGGAGAUAGCUGGUUCUCCCCGAAAGCUAUUUAGGUAGCGCCUCGUGAAUUCAUCUCCGGGGGUAGAGCACUGUUUCGGCAAGGGGGUCAUCCCGACUUACCAACCCGAUGCAAACUGCGAAUACCGGAGAAUGUUAUCACGGGAGACACACGGCGGGUGCUAACGUCCGUCGUGAAGAGGGAAACAACCCAGACCGCCAGCUAAGGUCCCAAAGUCAUGGUUAAGUGGGAAACGAUGUGGGAAGGCCCAGACAGCCAGGAUGUUGGCUUAGAAGCAGCCAUCAUUUAAAGAAAGCGUAAUAGCUCACUGGUCGAGUCGGCCUGCGCGGAAGAUGUAACGGGGCUAAACCAUGCACCGAAGCUGCGGCAGCGACGCUUAUGCGUUGUUGGGUAGGGGAGCGUUCUGUAAGCCUGUGAAGGUGUGCUGUGAGGCAUGCUGGAGGUAUCAGAAGUGCGAAUGCUGACAUAAGUAACGAUAAAGCGGGUGAAAAGCCCGCUCGCCGGAAGACCAAGGGUUCCUGUCCAACGUUAAUCGGGGCAGGGUGAGUCGACCCCUAAGGCGAGGCCGAAAGGCGUAGUCGAUGGGAAACAGGUUAAUAUUCCUGUACUUGGUGUUACUGCGAAGGGGGGACGGAGAAGGCUAUGUUGGCCGGGCGACGGUUGUCCCGGUUUAAGCGUGUAGGCUGGUUUUCCAGGCAAAUCCGGAAAAUCAAGGCUGAGGCGUGAUGACGAGGCACUACGGUGCUGAAGCAACAAAUGCCCUGCUUCCAGGAAAAGCCUCUAAGCAUCAGGUAACAUCAAAUCGUACCCCAAACCGACACAGGUGGUCAGGUAGAGAAUACCAAGGCGCUUGAGAGAACUCGGGUGAAGGAACUAGGCAAAAUGGUGCCGUAACUUCGGGAGAAGGCACGCUGAUAUGUAGGUGAAGUCCCUCGCGGAUGGAGCUGAAAUCAGUCGAAGAUACCAGCUGGCUGCAACUGUUUAUUAAAAACACAGCACUGUGCAAACACGAAAGUGGACGUAUACGGUGUGACGCCUGCCCGGUGCCGGAAGGUUAAUUGAUGGGGUCAGCGCAAGCGAAGCUCUUGAUCGAAGCCCCGGUAAACGGCGGCCGUAACUAUAACGGUCCUAAGGUAGCGAAAUUCCUUGUCGGGUAAGUUCCGACCUGCACGAAUGGCGUAAUGAUGGCCAGGCUGUCUCCACCCGAGACUCAGUGAAAUUGAACUCGCUGUGAAGAUGCAGUGUACCCGCGGCAAGACGGAAAGACCCCGUGAACCUUUACUAUAGCUUGACACUGAACAUUGAGCCUUGAUGUGUAGGAUAGGUGGGAGGCUUUGAAGUGUGGACGCCAGUCUGCAUGGAGCCGACCUUGAAAUACCACCCUUUAAUGUUUGAUGUUCUAACGUUGACCCGUAAUCCGGGUUGCGGACAGUGUCUGGUGGGUAGUUUGACUGGGGCGGUCUCCUCCUAAAGAGUAACGGAGGAGCACGAAGGUUGGCUAAUCCUGGUCGGACAUCAGGAGGUUAGUGCAAUGGCAUAAGCCAGCUUGACUGCGAGCGUGACGGCGCGAGCAGGUGCGAAAGCAGGUCAUAGUGAUCCGGUGGUUCUGAAUGGAAGGGCCAUCGCUCAACGGAUAAAAGGUACUCCGGGGAUAACAGGCUGAUACCGCCCAAGAGUUCAUAUCGACGGCGGUGUUUGGCACCUCGAUGUCGGCUCAUCACAUCCUGGGGCUGAAGUAGGUCCCAAGGGUAUGGCUGUUCGCCAUUUAAAGUGGUACGCGAGCUGGGUUUAGAACGUCGUGAGACAGUUCGGUCCCUAUCUGCCGUGGGCGCUGGAGAACUGAGGGGGGCUGCUCCUAGUACGAGAGGACCGGAGUGGACGCAUCACUGGUGUUCGGGUUGUCAUGCCAAUGGCACUGCCCGGUAGCUAAAUGCGGAAGAGAUAAGUGCUGAAAGCAUCUAAGCACGAAACUUGCCCCGAGAUGAGUUCUCCCUGACUCCUUGA